GACGAACGCUGGCGGCGUGCUUAACACAUGCAAGUCGAACGGAAAGGCCCCUUUGGGGGUACUCGAGUGGCGAACGGGUGAGUAACACGUGAGUAACCUGCCCUUGACUUCGGGAUAACUUCAGGAAACUGGGGCUAAUACCGGAUAGGAAUCCUUGCUGCAUGGUGGGGGUUGGAAAGCUUCGGCGGUUUUGGAUGGACUCGCGGCUUUUCAGCUUGUUGGUGGGGUAGUGGCUUACCCAGGCUUUGACGGGUAGCCGGCCUGAGAGGGCGACCGGCCACAUUGGGACUGAGAUACGGCCCAGACUCCUACGGGAGGCAGCAGUGGGGAAUAUUGCACAAUGGGCGGAAGCCUGAUGCAGCAACGCCGCGUGCGGGAUGACGGCCUUCGGGUUGUAAACCGCUUUCAGCAGGGGCGAAGCCUGUGGUGACGGUACCUGCAGAAGAAGCACCGGCUAACUACGUG
RNAcentral lists this ribosomal RNA (465 nucleotides) under uncultured bacterium. RNAcentral's name for it is "partial 16S ribosomal RNA". It matches the Rfam family "Bacterial small subunit ribosomal RNA", at positions 28 to 507 of the family's 1533-position model. The record is from RNAcentral.